ACGGGUGAGUAACACGUGGGCAACCUGCCUGUAAGACUGGGAUAACACCGGGAAACCGGUGCUAAUACCGGAUAAUCCUUUUCCUCUCAUGAGGAAAAGCUGAAAGUCGGUUUCGGCUGACACUUACAGAUGGGCCCGCGGCGCAUUAGCUAGUUGGUGAGGUAACGGCUCACCAAGGCGACGAUGCGUAGCCGACCUGAGAGGGUGAUCGGCCACACUGGGACUGAGACACGGCCCAGACUCCUACGGGAGGCAGCAGUAGGGAAUCUUCCACAAUGGACGAAAGUCUGAUGGAGCAACGCCGCGUGAGCGAUGAAGGCCUUCGGGUCGUAAAGCUCUGUUGUUGGGGAAGAACAAGUACCGGAGUAACUGCCGGUACCUUGACGGUACCUAACCAGAAAGCCACGGCUAACUACGUGCCAGCAGCCGCGGUAAUACGUAGGUGGCAAGCGUUGUCCGGAAUUAUUGGGCGUAAAGCGCGCGCAGGCGGUCCUUUAAGUCUGAUGUGAAAGCCCACGGCUCAACCGUGGAGGGUCAUUGGAAACUGGGGGGACUUGAGUGCAGAAGAGGAAAGCGGAAUUCC
This 583-nucleotide ribosomal RNA is filed under the name uncultured bacterium. RNAcentral's name for it is "bacterial SSU rRNA". It matches the Rfam family "Bacterial small subunit ribosomal RNA", at positions 102 to 670 of the family's 1533-position model. The record is from RNAcentral.